Molecule: ribosomal RNA, 323 nt
Filed under: uncultured beta proteobacterium
Lineage: Bacteria; Pseudomonadati; Pseudomonadota; Betaproteobacteria
Description: bacterial SSU rRNA
Rfam family: Bacterial small subunit ribosomal RNA
Source: RNAcentral
CAUAAUCUCUGAGGAGAAAAGCAGGGGAUCGCAAGACCUUGCGCUUUURGAGCGGCCGAUGUCUGAUUAGCUUGUUGGUAAGGUAAAAGCUUACCAAGGCUUCGAUCAGUAGCUGGUCUGAGAGGACGACCAGCCACACUGGGACUGAGACACGGCCCAGACUCCUACGGGAGGCAGCAGUGGGGAACUUUGGACAAUGGGGGCAACCCUGAUCCAGCCAUGCCGCGUGAGUGAAGAAGGCCUUCGGGUUGUAAAGCUCUUUCAGCCGGAACGAAACGGUUACGGUUAAUACCCGUGACUAAUGACGGUACCGGAAGAAGAAG